This 827-nucleotide ribosomal RNA is filed under the name Hanseniaspora uvarum. Its description in RNAcentral is "LSU rRNA". It matches the Rfam family "Eukaryotic large subunit ribosomal RNA", at positions 77 to 923 of the family's 3401-position model. Lineage: Eukaryota; Fungi; Ascomycota; Saccharomycetes; Saccharomycodales; Saccharomycodaceae. The record is from RNAcentral.
ACCUUAGUAACGGCGAGUGAAGCGGUAAAAGCUCAAAUUUGAAAUCUGGUACUUUCAGUGCCCGAGUUGUAAUUUGUAGAAUUUGUCUUUGAUUAGGUCCUUGUCUAUGUUCCUUGGAACAGGACGUCAUAGAGGGUGAGAAUCCCGUUUGGCGAGGAUACCUUUUCUCUGUAAGACUUUUUCGAAGAGUCGAGUUGUUUGGGAAUGCAGCUCAAAGUGGGUGGUAAAUUCCAUCUAAAGCUAAAUAUUGGCGAGAGACCGAUAGCGAACAAGUACAGUGAUGGAAAGAUGAAAAGAACUUUGAAAAGAGAGUGAAAAAGUACGUGAAAUUGUUGAAAGGGAAGGGCAUUUGAUCAGACAUGGUGUUUUUUGCAUGCACUCGCCUCUCGUGGGCUUGGGCCUCUCAAAAAUUUCACUGGGCCAACAUCAAUUCUGGCAGCAGGAUAAAUCAUUAAGAAUGUAGCUACUUCGGUAGUGUUAUAGCUUUUUGGAAUACUGUUAGCCGGGAUUGAGGACUGCGCUUCGGCAAGGAUGUUGGCAUAAUGGUUAAAUGCCGCCCGUCUUGAAACACGGACCAAGGAGUCUAACGUCUAUGCGAGUGUUUGGGUGUAAAACCCGUACGCGUAAUGAAAGUGAACGUAGGUUGGGGCCUUCGGGUGCACAAUCGACCGACCUUGAUGUUUUCGGAUAGGUUUGAGUAAGAGCAUAGCUGUUGGGACCCGAAAGAUGGUGAACUAUGCCUGAAUAGGGUGAAGCCAGAGGAAACUCUGGUGGAGGCUCGUAGCGGUUCUGACGUGCAAAUCGAUCGUCGAAUUUGGGUAUAGGGG